UGAAUGAAUGAAUGCUAGAUAUGGAAACUACUCCUGUGUUGCUGAAAACAAGCUUGGGCGUGCUGAAGGAAAGGUUGAACUCUUUGAGACUGUUAUUCCAAUAUGUCCGCCUGCAUGUGACGCCAUUGAGUACAGCAGUGGAGCUAGCUCACUCACUACUUCACUAGCUCUCCUUCUAUUCAUCACUAUUCUCGCUGUUCGAUUCAGAAACUAAAUAAUGUCGUCUUAGAUUUUCUAUUUUUCAAAAUAUUUUACAUUUUUCUUGCCAAAUAAUUCAAGAACUUGAAAUAAUAAAAAGUAUUUAGAUUUCUAAAAACUAUCAAAAAAUGAUAUUAAAAACUUAUUUUUAUAGCAUCUCUCCGUUAAUAGAAAUGUAUUCUAUGUUUAAAAACCAAAAUAAGAAUGGCAUAUACUUAUACAAUAUAAUUAUAGAAUACGUUCUUAUCAUGUAUAUGAGAACAUUGUACAGUUAAAAAUUAAGAAAAAAUAAAUAAAAGGUUUUUAAAAA
Eurytemora carolleeae is the source of this 508-nucleotide long non-coding RNA. RefSeq lists it as uncharacterized. The transcript has 2 exons. The record is from RefSeq and is a predicted model, not a curated record. NCBI's taxonomy places the organism in Eukaryota, Metazoa, Arthropoda, Copepoda, Calanoida, Temoridae.